UAACACGUAGGGGACAAGCGUUAUUCGGAAUUACUGGGCGUAAAGGGCAUGUAGGCGGCCUGAUAAGCCUGGCGUGAAAGUCAUCGGCUUAACCGGUGGAUUGCGUCGGGAACUGUUGGGCUUGAGUCAUGGAGAGGAAGGCAGAAUUCCUGGUGUAGGGGUGAAAUCUGUAGAGAUCAGGAAGAAUACCAGUGGCGAAGGCGGCCUUCUGGCCAAUGACUGACGCUGAGGUGCGAAAGUGUGGGGAUCAAACAGGAUUAGAUACCCUGGUAGUCCACACUGUAAACGAUGUGCACUAGGUGCUGGGGCGGAUGCUUCAGUGCCGGAGCUAACGCGGUAAGUGCACCGCCUGGGGAGUAUGCUCGCAAGGGUGAAACUCAAAGGAAUUGACGG
Molecule: ribosomal RNA, 393 nt
Filed under: bacterium enrichment culture
Lineage: Bacteria
Description: bacterial SSU rRNA
Rfam family: Bacterial small subunit ribosomal RNA
Source: RNAcentral